UCUGAAGGCGGAGGGUGUCUUCUAUGCCACAAAAAAAAAAAAGCAAGGCGGUUCUGAAGGCAGAGGGUGUCUUCUAUGGCACAAAGAAGCAAGGUGGUUCUGAAGGCAGAGUGUUUCUUCUAUGGCACAAAGAAGCAAGGUGGUUCUGAAGGCGGAGGGUGUCUUUUAUGGCUCAAAGAAGCAAGGUGGUUCUGAAUGCAGAGGGUGUCUUCUAUGCCACAAA
Nematolebias whitei (Rio pearlfish) is the source of this 223-nucleotide long non-coding RNA. RefSeq lists it as uncharacterized. The record is from RefSeq and is a predicted model, not a curated record. NCBI's taxonomy places the organism in Eukaryota, Metazoa, Chordata, Actinopteri, Cyprinodontiformes, Rivulidae. The transcript has 2 exons.